UAUCUUCGGGGCGGGGUGCAAUUCCCCACCGGCGGUGAAAGUCCGCGAGCGAAAGCUGAACCGGUGCAAUUCCGGUACCGACGGUACAGUCCGGAUGAAAGAAGAA
This 106-nucleotide non-coding RNA is filed under the name human gut metagenome. RNAcentral's name for it is "FMN riboswitch (RFN element)". It matches the Rfam family "FMN riboswitch aptamer (RFN element)". From Rfam's summary of the family: The RFN element is a highly conserved domain that is found frequently in the 5'-untranslated regions of prokaryotic mRNAs that encode for flavin mononucleotide (FMN) biosynthesis and transport proteins. This element is a metabolite-dependent riboswitch that directly binds FMN in the absence of proteins. The record is from RNAcentral.